UACGUAGGGGGCAAGCGUUGUCCGGAAUCAUUGGGCGUAAAGCGCGUGUAGGCGGCCUGCCAAGUCCGAUGUGAAAGCUCGGGGCUCAACCCCGAGUCUGCAUUGGAAACUGGCAGGCUUGAGUCCGGAAGAGGAGACUGGAAUUCCUGGUGUAGCGGUGAAAUGCGCAGAUAUCAGGAAGAACACCGGUGGCGAAGGCGGGUCUCUGGGACGGUACUGACGCUGAGACGCGAAAGCGUGGGGAGCAAACAGGAUUAGAUACCCUGGUAGUCCACGCCGUAAACGAUGGGCACUAGGUGUGGGAGGUGUCGACUCCUUCCGUGCCGAAGCUAACGCAUUAAGUGCCCCGCCUGGGGAGUACGGCCGCAAGGCUAAA
Molecule: ribosomal RNA, 376 nt
Filed under: uncultured bacterium
Lineage: Bacteria
Description: bacterial SSU rRNA
Rfam family: Bacterial small subunit ribosomal RNA
Source: RNAcentral